GCACCCAUAGUAUAAUGGAUAGUACAGCGGUUUCCGGAGCCGCGGGUUCAGGUUCGAUUCCUGGUGGGUGUA
This 72-nucleotide transfer RNA is filed under the name Verrucomicrobiales bacterium. RNAcentral describes it as "tRNA-Arg". It matches the Rfam family "tRNA". From Rfam's summary of the family: Transfer RNA (tRNA) molecules are approximately 80 nucleotides in length. Their secondary structure includes four short double-helical elements and three loops (D, anti-codon, and T loops). Further hydrogen bonds mediate the characteristic L-shaped molecular structure. tRNAs have two regions of fundamental functional importance: the anti-codon, which is responsible for specific mRNA codon recognition, and the 3' end, to which the tRNAs corresponding amino acid is attached (by aminoacyl-tRNA synthetases). tRNAs cope with the degeneracy of the genetic code in two manners: having more than one tRNA (with a specific anti-codon) for a particular amino acid; and 'wobble' base-pairing, i.e. permitting non-standard base-pairing at the 3rd anti-codon position. The record is from RNAcentral. Lineage: Bacteria; Pseudomonadati; Verrucomicrobiota; Verrucomicrobiia; Verrucomicrobiales.